UACGGAGGGUGCAAGCGUUAAUCGGAAUUACUGGGCGUAAAGCGCACGCAGGCGGAUCGUUAAGUCAGGGGUGAAAUCCCGGGGCUCAACCCCGGAACUGCCUUUGAUACUGGCGAUCUCGAGUCCGGAAGAGGUGAGUGGAAUUCCGAGUGUAGAGGUGAAAUUCGCAGAUAUUCGGAGGAACACCAGUGGCGAAGGCGGCUCACUGGUCCGGUACUGACGCUGUGGCGCGAAAGCGUGGGGAGCAAACAGG
RNAcentral lists this ribosomal RNA (253 nucleotides) under uncultured bacterium. RNAcentral's name for it is "partial 16S ribosomal RNA". It matches the Rfam family "Bacterial small subunit ribosomal RNA", at positions 524 to 776 of the family's 1533-position model. The record is from RNAcentral.